RNAcentral lists this long non-coding RNA (1326 nucleotides) under Monodelphis domestica (gray short-tailed opossum). RNAcentral describes it as "lncRNA (ENSMODG00000042049.1)". The record is from RNAcentral. Lineage: Eukaryota; Metazoa; Chordata; Mammalia; Didelphimorphia; Didelphidae.
AUGGGUGAACUGAAGGGAGGCACACAUUCACCAGCGUAAAAAUCAGAAGUCAGGACCGCUGGCGAUGGCCUGGGGUGCCGUAGAUGACUGCAGCCUCUUCCACGUGUGGCCAAGCUCCACAUCCUGCUUCAGGCGCCCUCCUUCCCCGAGACCUCCCCCGAACUCUCCAACAUGGCGGAGGCCACAGCGCCCGCUACAACUUCUUGGAGCCAAGAUACUGGAUGAUCAUCAGCGCUUCACAUUGGCUUCAACUGAGCAGGAAACGCAGAAAGAAAAGGGAGCUGAGAAUAUUUUCUAUCUCUUAAGCUGGGAGCAAACUUUCAGACCUGUGAUAUCAUCAGUACAGGGAAUUUCAUGUAUGGAAAUUCCUUCUAACAAUAUGGCUUUUCUACAGUUUAGAGACUGAUACUAUUCCCUGAGGAAGAGAGAGAUUAGUUUGUUGGCACAGGGUCCAGUUCCUGAUAUAUAAGAAUUGAAGCUUGAACACAUCUUUCUAACUCUGGAUCCAUCAAUCUACUGCAUCACAACAUCAUGUUGUUUGUAUGUUUAUGUAUGUGUAGGGGGGAGUGCUAUGAGACAGACAGAGAGAGAAACAAAGAAUAGGAAAGGUAAAAAGGGAGAGAUUAAGAAGAAGGAAUAGUUGAUGAUAUAACUUUGCUAUAAUAUCCUUUAUCUAUCCUGUAUUUGCAUAUUGAAUAUUUAUACACAAACAUAUAUAUAUUAUAGCCACACACAUAUAUGAAGUGAAAGAGAGUGAUAAACAGAAAAUAGGAGUCAAAAAGAGCUGGGUUCAAUUGUUCAGGGUCUGGACCAGAUACUUAAGGACUUUGUCACCAUGGGUAAGUAACUGUCUAAGCACUAGGCAACUCUCACAUCCAAGGAGUUAUUUAUACCAAUGAAAAAACAUAGCUUUAUAUAAUACCCCCAAAUUAAUACAUAGGACAGAAAUAAUAUAUAGUCCUAGAAAAAGAAACUUUGAAUAACUAUGCAAAUAUUAUGAUCAUGGUUUAUAUGACUAAUAGUCUAAAAUCAUAUGAAAAUUUGUCAUUAAUUAUAAUCACAAGAUGGCCAAAAAAAAGUGAUUUGCUAUCCAUGUAGUAAUUCCUUAACUAAUUACGCCUAGCCAAAAAGUGAAUCUUUUUUAACCCUUUUCAGUACUAUCAGCCCUAUCAUCCGAUUUCUCUGUUUCAACAUAUCAGCACACUACCCAACUGUUUUGAAAUUAAGUUGAUCAAUCUACCAGAAUUUUAUGGCACAUGACCUUAGCUAGCCCUCAAUGAUUAUUCCAUUCUAUUUUUAUUUGCUGUUCACUAUUUAAGUCAGGUC